RNAcentral lists this microRNA precursor (127 nucleotides) under Ovis aries (sheep). RNAcentral describes it as "miRNA (ENSOARG00000023052.1)". The record is from RNAcentral. Lineage: Eukaryota; Metazoa; Chordata; Mammalia; Artiodactyla; Bovidae.
CUCAGUCAAAUUUCAGUGUCCAACAAAUAAUGAAUAUUUUUUAGGAUAAGCAGGUACCAUGCAAUAUUCAGGACAUACUUAUACUAGAAAACUGUCAUAUAUCUGAAAUUAAAAUGUAACUGGGCAU